This 418-nucleotide ribosomal RNA is filed under the name uncultured eukaryote. Its description in RNAcentral is "SSU rRNA". It matches the Rfam family "Eukaryotic small subunit ribosomal RNA", at positions 592 to 1013 of the family's 1831-position model. The record is from RNAcentral.
CAAUAGCGUAUAUUAAAGUUGUUGCGGUUAAAAAGCUCGUAGUUGGAUUUCUGCUGAGGACGACCGGUCCGCCCUCCGGGUGAGCAUCUGGUUCGGCCUUGGCAUCUUCUUGGUGAACGUAUCUGCACUUGACUGUGUGGUGCGGUACCCAGGACUUUUACUUUGAGGAAAUUAGAGUGUUUCAAGCAGGCAUACGCCUUGAAUACAUUAGCAUGGAAUAAUAAGAUAGGACCUCGGUCCUAUUUUGUUGGUUUUGAGGACUAGAGUAAUGAUUAAUAGGGAUAGUUGGGGGCAUUCAUAUUUAAUUGUCAGAGGUGAAAUUCUUGGAUUUAUGAAAGAUGAACUUCUGCGAAAGCAUUUGCCAAGGAUGUUUUUCAUUAAUCAAGAACGAAAGUUAGGGGAUCGAAGAUGAUUAGAU